UUCUCUACAGAAAACCACAACCAGCAAAGAAGAGGAAAGAGGAGGAUUUUUGACACUUAGAAUUUGAACUACCAGAUAGUGUCACAUUCUUAGAUUGAGCAUGUUCAAAGCAAGACAGAGCCUAAAUGUGACACCAAAACACUCCAAAAGAUCUAUGCAACCACAAAUAAGAUGUUGAAACCAAGCGAACAUUCAUCAGUUGUGCAUUUGACACUAAUAGAAAUCUGCGGCUGUAAGCAUGAACAAGAAACUAAAGAGCAAUUACUCAGCUUUAUUCCUGGGACGAUUUAUUUUAAACAUGUCCCUGCUCCUUUGAGUAUGAAACCACAUAACAAAAUAGAUGCAUGAGGAUAAUGACACACUAGCAAAUUCCAAUUUAAUCCUAUCUCGAGUGGAAACUUUGCACAUAACAACAGAGAACUAGAAAGCUUCCAAGUUUACCCAUCCAGUUAAGAGAAAUCGAUGUUUACAAACUGAACUGAUCCUAAUCUUGCUUCAAAGGUGAAAACAAAUCACUAGAAAUGGAAACAAAUAGAUAGACAAUACAAACUGGUCGGCAUUCAAGUGUCAAGAAUGAUCACAAUCUUGCUUCAAAGAUGAAAACAAAUCACUAGAAAUGGAAACAAAUCGAUAGACAAUACAAACUGGUCGGCAUUCAAGUGUUAAGAUAGUCUGUACAUUUAAC
RNAcentral lists this long non-coding RNA (685 nucleotides) under Nicotiana benthamiana. RNAcentral describes it as "long non-coding RNA (NBEN_LNC032614)". The record is from RNAcentral. Lineage: Eukaryota; Viridiplantae; Streptophyta; Magnoliopsida; Solanales; Solanaceae.